RNAcentral lists this ribosomal RNA (253 nucleotides) under uncultured bacterium. Its description in RNAcentral is "partial 16S ribosomal RNA". It matches the Rfam family "Bacterial small subunit ribosomal RNA", at positions 524 to 776 of the family's 1533-position model. The record is from RNAcentral.
UACGAAGGAUGCAAGCGUUAUCCGGAUUUAUUGGGUUUAAAGGGUGCGUAGGCGGGCUUAUAAGUCAGUGGUGAAAGCUUCCGGCUUAACCGGGAAAUUGCCAUUGAUACUGUAAGUCUUGAGUAUGGUUGAAGUGGGCGGAAUGUGCAGUGUAGCGGUGAAAUGCUUAGAUAUUGCACAGAACACCGAUUGCGAAGGCAGCUCGCUAAGCCAUAACUGACGCUGAGGCACGAAAGCAUGGGGAUCAAACAGG